Molecule: ribosomal RNA, 482 nt
Filed under: uncultured bacterium
Lineage: Bacteria
Description: bacterial SSU rRNA
Rfam family: Bacterial small subunit ribosomal RNA
Source: RNAcentral
AUUGAACGCUGGCGGCAUGCCUUACACAUGCAAGUCGAACGGUAACAGGUCUUCGGAUGCUGACGAGUGGCGAACGGGUGAGUAAUACAUCGGAACGUGCCCGAUCGUGGGGGAUAACGAAGCGAAAGCUUUGCUAAUACCGCAUACGAUCUACGGAUGAAAGCAGGGGACCGCAAGGCCUUGCGCGAACGGAGCGGCCGAUGGCAGAUUAGGUAGUUGGUGGGAUAAAAGCUUACCAAGCCGACGAUCUGUAGCUGGUCUGAGAGGACGACCAGCCACACUGGGACUGAGACACGGCCCAGACUCCUACGGGAGGCAGCAGUGGGGAAUUUUGGACAAUGGGCGAAAGCCUGAUCCAGCCAUGCCGCGUGCAGGAUGAAGGCCCUCGGGUUGUAAACUGCUUUUGUACGGAACGAAAAGACUCUGGUUAAUACCUGGGGUCCAUGACGGUACCGUAAGAAUAAGCACCGGCUAACUACGUG